GACGUAGGGCGCGAGCGUUGUCCGGAUUUAUUGGGCGUAAAGAGCUCGUAGGCGGCUUGUCGCGUCGACUGUGAAAACCCGUGGCUCAACCAUGUGGUCUGCAGUCGAUACGGGCAGGCUAGAAUUCGGUAGGGGAGACUGGAAUUCCUGGUGUAGCGGUGAAAUGCGCAGAUAUCAGGAGGAACACCGGUGGCGAAGGCGGGUCUCUGGGCCGAUAUUGACGCUGAGGCACGAAGGCCAGGGGAGCAAACGGG
Molecule: ribosomal RNA, 254 nt
Filed under: uncultured bacterium
Lineage: Bacteria
Description: partial 16S ribosomal RNA
Rfam family: Bacterial small subunit ribosomal RNA
Source: RNAcentral